Molecule: ribosomal RNA, 580 nt
Filed under: uncultured bacterium
Lineage: Bacteria
Description: bacterial SSU rRNA
Rfam family: Bacterial small subunit ribosomal RNA
Source: RNAcentral
ACGGGUGAGUAACACGUAGGCAACCUGCCCUCAAGUUUGGGACAACUACCGGAAACGGUAGCUAAUACCGAAUAGUUGUUUUCUUCGCCUGAAGGAAACUGGAAAGACGGAGCAAUCUGUCACUUGGGGAUGGGCCUGCGGCGCAUUAGCUAGUUGGUGGGGUAACGGCUCACCAAGGCGACGAUGCGUAGCCGACCUGAGAGGGUGAUCGGCCACACUGGGACUGAGACACGGCCCAGACUCCUACGGGAGGCAGCAGUAGGGAAUCUUCCGCAAUGGGCGAAAGCCUGACGGAGCAAUGCCGCGUGAGUGAUGAAGGUUUUCGGAUCGUAAAGCUCUGUUGCCAGGGAAGAACGCUUGGGAGAGUAACUGCUCUCAAGGUGACGGUACCUGAGAAGAAAGCCCCGGCUAACUACGUGCCAGCAGCCGCGGUAAUACGUAGGGGGCAAGCGUUGUCCGGAAUUAUUGGGCGUAAAGCGCGCGCAGGCGGUCAUUUAAGUCUGGUGUUUAAUCCCGGGGCUCAACCCCGGAUCGCACUGGAAACUGGGUGACUUGAGCGCAGAAGAGGAGAGUAGAAUUC